GUGCCAGCCGCCGCGGUAAUACGUAGGUGGCAAGCGUUGUCCGGAUUUACUGGGCGUAAAGGGUGCGUAGGCGGAUCUUUAAGUGAGAUGUGAAAUCCCCGAGCUUAACUUGGGGGCUGCAUUUCAAACUGGAGGUCUAGAGUGCAGGAGAGGAGAGUGGAAUUCCUAGUGUAGCGGUGAAAUGCGUAGAGAUUAGGAAGAACACCAGUGGCGAAGGCGACUCUCUGGACUGUAACUGACGCUGAGGCACGAAAGCGUGGGGAGCAAACAGGAUUAGAAACCCGGGUAGUCC
Molecule: ribosomal RNA, 292 nt
Filed under: uncultured bacterium
Lineage: Bacteria
Description: partial 16S ribosomal RNA
Rfam family: Bacterial small subunit ribosomal RNA
Source: RNAcentral